GAUGAACGCUAGCUACAGGCUUACCACAUGCAAGUCGAGGGGUAACAAGAGAAAAGCUUGCUUUUCUUGUUGACGACCGGCGCACGGGUGAGUAACGCGUAUCCAACCUGCCUAUAACUAGGGAAUAACCUUGAGAAAGUAAGACUAAUACCCUAUGAUUUCCUUUGAUGACAUCAGAUUAGGAAUAAAGAUUUAUCGGUUAUAGAUGGGGAUGCGUCUGAUUAGCUUGUUGGCGGGGUAACGGCCCACCAAGGCAACGAUCAGUAGGGGUUCUGAGAGGAAGGUCCCCCACAUUGGAACUGAGACACGGUCCAAACUCUUACGGGAGGCAGCAGUGAGGAAUAUCGGUCAAUGGGCGGAAGCCUGAACCAGCCAAGUAGCGUGCAGGAUGACGGCCCUAUGGGUUGUAAACUGCUUUUAUACAGGAAUAAAGUUAGCCACGUGUGGUUAUUUGUAGGUACUGUAUGAAUAAGGACCGGCUAAUUCCGUGCCAGCCGCCGCCGUAA
RNAcentral lists this ribosomal RNA (506 nucleotides) under uncultured bacterium. RNAcentral describes it as "partial 16S ribosomal RNA". It matches the Rfam family "Bacterial small subunit ribosomal RNA", at positions 28 to 523 of the family's 1533-position model. The record is from RNAcentral.